This 98-nucleotide transfer RNA is filed under the name Bacillota bacterium. Its description in RNAcentral is "tRNA-Sec". It matches the Rfam family "Selenocysteine transfer RNA". The record is from RNAcentral. Lineage: Bacteria; Bacillati; Bacillota.
GGGGAUGGGUGGUGGCUGGUGCUGCUCCCGGACUUCAAAUCCGCGUGUCGGGACGCAGAACGUUCCGAGGUGUGUUCGAUUCGCACGCAUCCCCGCCA